RNAcentral lists this ribosomal RNA (465 nucleotides) under Vreelandella stevensii. RNAcentral's name for it is "partial 16S ribosomal RNA". It matches the Rfam family "Bacterial small subunit ribosomal RNA", at positions 338 to 795 of the family's 1533-position model. The record is from RNAcentral. Lineage: Bacteria; Pseudomonadati; Pseudomonadota; Gammaproteobacteria; Oceanospirillales; Halomonadaceae.
CCUACGGGGGGCUGCAGUGGGGAAUAUUGGACAAUGGGGGCAACCCUGAUCCAGCCAUGCCGCGUGUGUGAAGAAGGCCCUCGGGUUGUAAAGCACUUUCAGUGGGGAAGAACGCCUGGUGGUUAAUACCCAUCAGGAAAGACAUCACUCACAGAAGAAGCACCGGCUAACUCCGUGCCAGCAGCCGCGGUAAUACGGAGGGUGCGAGCGUUAAUCGGAAUUACUGGGCGUAAAGCGCGCGUAGGUGGCUUGAUAAGCCGGUUGUGAAAGCCCCGGGCUCAACCUGGGAACGGCAUCCGGAACUGUCAAGCUAGAGUGCAGGAGAGGAAGGUAGAAUUCCCGGUGUAGCGGUGAAAUGCGUAGAGAUCGGGAGGAAUACCAGUGGCGAAGGCGGCCUUCUGGACUGACACUGACACUGAGGUGCGAAAGCGUGGGUAGCAAACAGGAUUAGAUACCCUUGUAGUC